RNAcentral lists this ribosomal RNA (852 nucleotides) under Bordetella sp. EGU497. Its description in RNAcentral is "bacterial SSU rRNA". It matches the Rfam family "Bacterial small subunit ribosomal RNA", at positions 595 to 1475 of the family's 1533-position model. Lineage: Bacteria; Pseudomonadati; Pseudomonadota; Betaproteobacteria; Burkholderiales; Alcaligenaceae. The record is from RNAcentral.
UGAAACCCGGGCUAGCAUGGAAUUGCAUUUACAUCGGUUAGGAGUGGUCAGAGGGGGUGGAUCGCGGUAGCAGUGAAAUGCGUAGAUAUGCGAAGCACACCGAUGCGAGGCAGCCUCUUGGAUAACAAUGACGUUCAUGCACGAAAGCGUGGGGAGGCAAACAGAUAGAUACCUGGUAGUCCACGCCUAAACGAUGUCAACUAGCUGUUGGGGCGUUCGGGCCUUAGUAGCGCAGCUAACGCGUGAAGUUGACCGCCUGGGGAGUACGGUCGCAAGAUAAACUCAAAGGAAUUGACGGGGACCCGCACAAGCGGUGGAUGAUGUGGAUUAAUUCGAUGCAACGCGAAAAACCUUACCUACCCUUGACAUGUCUGGAAUCCCGAAGAGAUUUGGGAGUGCUCGCAAGAGAACCGGAACACAGGUGCUGCAUGGCUGUCGUCAGCUCGUGUCGUGAGAUGUUGGGUUAAGUCCCGCAACGAGCGCAACCCUUGUCAUUAGUUGCUACGAAAGGGCACUUUAAUGAGACUGCCGGUGACAAACCGGAGGAAGGUGGGGAUGACGUCAAGUCCUCAUGGCCCUUAUGGGUAGGGCUUCACACGUCAUACAAUGGUCGGGACAGAGGGUUGCCAAACCGCGAGGUGGAGCUAAUCUCAGAAACCCGAUUGUAGUCCGGAUUGUAGUCUGCAACUCGACUACAUGAAGUCGGAAUCGUUAGUAAUCGCGGAUCAGAAUGUCGCGGUGAAUACGUUCCCGGGUCUUGUACACACCGCCCGUCACACCAUGGGAGUGGGUUCUACCAGAAGUAGUUAGCCUAACCGCUAGGAGGCCGCAUACCACGGUAGAUCGGUUUGU